This 66-nucleotide non-coding RNA is filed under the name Streptomyces venezuelae. Lineage: Bacteria; Bacillati; Actinomycetota; Actinomycetes; Kitasatosporales; Streptomycetaceae. The record is from RNAcentral. RNAcentral also lists the same sequence under 4 other names.
UGGCGAAACCUCCAGAAAGGAGGUCCACCCGGAGUGGUGUCCGGGUGCUGACGAUGCCAGCCGCAU